GGAUAACCUACCCUUAGGACUGGGAUAACCCUGGGAAACUGGGGCUAAUACCGGAUAGGCAAUUAUUCCUGCAAUGGUUUUUUGUUUAAAUGUUUUUUCGCCUAAGGAUGGGUCUGCGGCCGAUUAGGUAGUUGGUUAGGUAAUGGCUUACCAAGCCGUUGAUCGGUACGGGUUGUGAGAGCAAGAGCCCGGAGAUGGAACCUGAGACAAGGUUCCAGGCCCUACGGGGUGCAGCAGGCGCGAAACCUCCGCAAUGUGAGAAAUCGCGACGGGGGGAUCCCAAGUGCCAUUCUUAACGGGAUGGCUUUUCAUUAGUGUAAAGAGCUUUUGGAAUAAGAGCUGGGCAAGACCGGUGCCAGCCGCCGCGGUAACACCGGCAGCUCUAGUGGUAACAAUUUUUAUUGGGCCUAAAGCGUCCGUAGCCGGUUUAAUAAGUCUCUGGUGAAAUCCUGUAGCUUAACUGUGGGAAUUGCUGGAGAUACUAUUAGACUUGAGACCGGGAGAGGUUAGAGGUACUCCCAGGGUAGAGGUGAAAUUCUGUAAUCCUGGGAGGACCGCCUGUUGCGAAGGCGUCUAACUGGAACGGUUCUGACGGUGAGGGACGAAAGUUAGGGGCGCGAACCGGAUUAGAUACCCGGGUAGUCCUAACUGUAAAC
Molecule: ribosomal RNA, 656 nt
Filed under: uncultured archaeon
Lineage: Archaea
Description: bacterial SSU rRNA
Rfam family: Archaeal small subunit ribosomal RNA
Source: RNAcentral